RNAcentral lists this ribosomal RNA (253 nucleotides) under uncultured bacterium. Its description in RNAcentral is "partial 16S ribosomal RNA". It matches the Rfam family "Bacterial small subunit ribosomal RNA", at positions 524 to 776 of the family's 1533-position model. The record is from RNAcentral.
UACGGGGGGGGCAAGCGUUGUUCGGAAUUACUGGGCGUAAAGGGGCUGUAGGCGGCCAACUAAGUCCGACGUGAAAUCCCAAAGCUUAACUUUGGAACUGCGUCGGAUACUGGAUGGCUUGAAUUCGGGAGAGGGAUGCAGAAUUCCAGGUGUAGCGGUGAAAUGCGUAGAUAUCUGGAGGAAUACCGGUGGCGAAGGCGGCAUCCUGGACCGACAUUGACGCUGAAAGCCGAAAGCUAGGGGAGCAAACGGG